GACGAACGCUGGCGGCGUGCCUAAUACAUGCAAGUAGAACGCUGAAGGAGGAGCUUGCUUCUCUGGAUGAGUUGCGAACGGGUGAGUAACGCGUAGGUAACCUGCCUGGUAGCGGGGGAUAACUAUUGGAAACGAUAGCUAAUACCGCAUAAUAGCAGUUGUUGCAUGACAACUGUUUGAAAGGUGCAAUUGCACCACUACCAGAUGGACCUGCGUUGUAUUAGCUAGUUGGUGGGGUAACGGCUCACCAAGGCGACGAUACAUAGCCGACCUGAGAGGGUGAUCGGCCACACUGGGACUGAGACACGGCCCAGGCUCCUACGGGAGGCAGCAGUAGGGAAUCUUCGGCAAUGGACGGAAGUCUGACCGAGCAACGCCGCGUGAGUGAAGAAGGGUUUCGGAUCGUAAAGCUCUGUUGUAAGAGAAGAACGAGUGUGAGAGUGGAAAGUUCACACUGUGACGGUAUCUGACCAGAAAGGGACGGCUAACUACGUG
Molecule: ribosomal RNA, 495 nt
Filed under: uncultured bacterium
Lineage: Bacteria
Description: partial 16S ribosomal RNA
Rfam family: Bacterial small subunit ribosomal RNA
Source: RNAcentral